GGCGGACGGGUGAGUAAUGCCUAGGAAUCUGCCUGGUAGUGGGGGAUAACGUUCCGAAAGGAACGCUAAUACCGCGUACGUCCUACGGGAGAAAGCAGGGGACCUUCGGGCCUUGCGCUAUCAGAUGAGCCUAGGUCGGAUUAGCUAGUUGGUGAGGUAAUGGCUCACCAAGGCGACGAUCCGUAACUGGUCUGAGAGGAUGAUCAGUCACACUGGAACUGAGACACGGUCCAGACUCCUACGGGAGGCAGCAGUGGGGAAUAUUGGACAAUGGGCGAAAGCCUGAUCCAGCCAUGCCGCGUGUGUGAAGAAGGUCUUCGGAUUGUAAAGCACUUUAAGUUGGGAGGAAGGGCUGUAGGCUAAUAUCCUGCAGUUUUGACGUUACCAACAGAAUAAGCACCGGCUAACUUCGUGCCAGCAGCCGCGGUAAUACGAAGGGUGCAAGCGUUAAUCGGAAUUACUGGGCGUAAAGCGCGCGUAGGUGGUUCGUUAAGUUGGAUGUGAAAGCCCCGGGCUCAACCUGGGAACUGCAUCCAAAACUGGCGAGCUAGAGUACGGUAGAGGGUAGUGGAAUUUCCUGUGUAGCGGUGAAAUGCGUAGAUAUAGGAAGGAACACCAGUGGCGAAGGCGACUACCUGGACUGAUACUGACACUGAGGUGCGAAAGCGUGGGGAGCAAACAGGAUUAGAUACCCUGGUAGUCCACGCCGUAAACGAUGUCAACUAGCCGUUGGAAUCCUUGAGAUUUUAGUGGCGCAGCUAACGCAUUAAGUUGACCGCCUGGGGAGUACGG
This 792-nucleotide ribosomal RNA is filed under the name Pseudomonas sp. Its description in RNAcentral is "bacterial SSU rRNA". It matches the Rfam family "Bacterial small subunit ribosomal RNA", at positions 97 to 885 of the family's 1533-position model. Lineage: Bacteria; Pseudomonadati; Pseudomonadota; Gammaproteobacteria; Pseudomonadales; Pseudomonadaceae. The record is from RNAcentral.